UACGUAGGUGGCGAGCGUUAUCCGGAAUUAUUGGGCGUAAAGAGCGCGCAGGUGGUUGAUUAAGUCUGAUGUGAAAGCCCACGGCUUAACCGUGGAGGGUCAUUGGAAACUGGUCGACUUGAGUGCAGAAGAGGGAAGUGGAAUUCCAUGUGUAGCGGUGAAAUGCGUAGAUAUUAGGAGGAACACCAGUUGCGAAGGCGGCUCUCUGGACUGUAACUGACACUGAGGCACGAAAGCGUGGGGAGCAAACAGGAUUAGAUACCCCGUA
Molecule: ribosomal RNA, 268 nt
Filed under: uncultured prokaryote
Description: partial 16S ribosomal RNA
Rfam family: Bacterial small subunit ribosomal RNA
Source: RNAcentral